Molecule: long non-coding RNA, 1367 nt
Organism: Hydra vulgaris (swiftwater hydra)
Lineage: Eukaryota; Metazoa; Cnidaria; Hydrozoa; Anthoathecata; Hydridae
Source: RefSeq, a predicted model, not a curated record
AUUGUGGCAUGCUUGCAAUUUAUUUUUUUAUAGUUUUUGUCAACUCUGGGUUAUUAUGCAUAAUAACCCAGAGUUACAUCAGUCCCUCUUCUUUUAGCCUUCUACAAAUGGUCCGGUCUAACACAACAAUUACAGCUUCAUGGGUAAGCUUAGUGGCUUUUUUUCUGUUUUACAGGCAGAUAUUUCUGAUUAUACUGUCCGCUCUUGGUGUUUUCUUGCGUUUAGAAGUUGGUCUCCUUGGAUCAAACUCUUUCCCUGUAUCGAUUCUUUUUCUUACUUGCAUUACGGUUUGGUAAAAAGCCUUUGCGGUUUGUGCAAUUUUUCAUUGAGAAUAAAUUGUAUUUUGGAAAAGACAUUUAAAACUUACUUUUAUUAUAAGUAGGAAACCAAUAUAUUCCUCCAGAAAGUUGAUCACCAGAUUGUCUUUCCAAAAUAACUAACAAAGAAUGACAAAUCACCAGGGGCUAGACACCCUUUUGCCUCCCUCAGGACAGCCCUGGGAAACAUGGGUGAAAUAAUUUUUAUUGCUUUAAAUAUUUUAGCUGCAAAUAUUACUGAUAGGGCAAUAGUGAAUACUGAAGUUUCCAUUUCUAAUGAUAGUAUUGAUGUUAAAACUGCUCCUGCCAUUUUACCAUCGACAUCAAUUAAUUUAUGAGAAAGGGCUCCUGUGAGUUUACCAUCAAUAUUAUUUAUUGUUUUACCUAAAUAAUACGAACUCAUUCCAAAGCCAGGUUAAGAAUAACAACUAAUAGAAAAAAACACAUAAUAGGUGUAAAAGAAAAUUGCAUAUUUUAACUGAUACACCUAAAAUAACAAAACAGAUUAUCUUUUAGUUUUUAAAUGAUGAAAGUUCUGAUGAAAUUUAUUUUGGAGUAAAUAUACUUACUUUAAGGAAAAUUUUUCUGAGUUUUUUAAUCAUUAAGUUGGCCGAAAUAGAUAAAGCUAGAUAGAGCCUAGAUAAAGCCUAGAGGCUUUAUUUAGCAGAAGUUAUAGAAGUUGUUGGUAUAGUUUACAAAAUUAAGUAUUAUAAGAAAUCAGGAGACAUUUGUAAUAAAUUUAUAUGAGACGAUGACGAUUUUACCAUUCUACAGAAUUUAAAUAUACAUUAUUUCUUCUAAGGCUUGUUUCUAAUAAUAAAAAUUAAUUUUUAGUUUAACAGGUGUUUCGUUUUUUUUAUAUUUAGUGUAUGACAGCAUGCAACCUUAAUCAAACUUUUAACCUGACAAAGUGUCUCAUAACUUGGAAAAAUUAUAAUUUGUGUGAACUUGGUUGUUUAUUCUACAGUCAUAUUAAAGAAAAUGACACUGGUUGUUGACCAACGGUUUAUAAUCAAAAUUUAAUAUGGCUGGCGGUAAAGGUAAAGAGAA